Molecule: ribosomal RNA, 433 nt
Filed under: uncultured bacterium
Lineage: Bacteria
Description: bacterial SSU rRNA
Rfam family: Bacterial small subunit ribosomal RNA
Source: RNAcentral
GGGCCCGCACAAGCGGUGGAGCAUGUGGUUUAAUUCGAUGCAACGCGAAGAACCUUACCUACUCUUGACAUCCUUGGAAUUCUCUAGAGAUAGAGAAGUGCCUUCGGGAACCAAGUGACAGGUGCUGCAUGGCUGUCGUCAGCUCGUGUCGUGAGAUGUUGGGUUAAGUCCCGUAACGAGCGCAACCCUCACCCUUAGUUGCCAUCAGCUUGGCUGGGAACUCUAAGGGGACUGCCGGUGAUAAACCGGAGGAAGGUGGGGAUGAUGUCAAGUCAUCAUGGCCCUUACGAGUAGGGCUACACACGUGCUACAAUGGGCAGUACAAAGGGUUGCUAAGCCGCGAGGUGGAGCUAAUCCCAGAAAGCUGCUCUUAGUCCGGAUUGGAGUCUGCAACUCGACUCCAUGAAGUUGGAAUCGCUAGUAAUCGCGAAUC